GAAAUGCGAUAAGUAAUGUGAAUUGCAAAAUUCCGUGAAUCAUUAAAUCUUUGAACGCACCUUGCGCUCUUUGGCAAUCCAGAGAGCAUGUCUGUUUGAGAAUCAGUUUAAAUCUCAUUAUUAUUAAUAUUUGUUUAUUGAUAAUAGUGGUUGUGGGUUUUUCAUGUCAAAAUGAAAUUCCUUAAAUACAAUUUGCUUGGUUUUUAAAUUUAUGUUUAAUCGGAAAGCAUGACCAAUGGGGCUUUAACGAGCUAUCCUCUUUGAUUGCUGAUAAAGAUUUAAUGUUUAUUUAAAAUUAUACUAUGGCAACUACUAAAACACCAAGGCGGGUUAACCCCAUCUUGAAGACUUGAUCUCAAAUCAGACAAGACUACCCGCUGAACUUAA
Molecule: unclassified non-coding RNA, 387 nt
Filed under: uncultured Chytridiomycota
Lineage: Eukaryota; Fungi; Chytridiomycota
Description: sequence contains ITS1
Rfam family: 5.8S ribosomal RNA (bases 1-105)
Source: RNAcentral